RNAcentral lists this ribosomal RNA (472 nucleotides) under uncultured bacterium. Its description in RNAcentral is "bacterial SSU rRNA". It matches the Rfam family "Bacterial small subunit ribosomal RNA", at positions 30 to 506 of the family's 1533-position model. The record is from RNAcentral.
UUGAACGCUGGCGGUAUGCUUAACACAUGCAAGUCGAACGGGGGUAGUAAUACCCUAGUGGCGGACGGGUGAGUAAUGCAUGGGAAUCUGCCUAGUAGUGGGGAAUAACCCGGCGAAAGCCGGGCUAAUGCCGCAUACGAUCUACGGAUGAAAGCGGGGGACCUUCGGGCCUCGCGCUAUUAGAUGAGCCCAUGCCGGAUUAGCUAGUUGGUGAGGUAACGGCUCACCAAGGCGACGAUCCGUAGCUGGUCUGAGAGGACGGCCAGCCACACUGGGACUGAGACACGGCCCAGACUCCUACGGGAGGCAGCAGUGGGGAAUAUUGGACAAUGGGCGAAAGCCUGAUCCAGCGACGCCGCGUGUGUGAAGAAGGCCUGCGGGUUGUAAAGCACUUUCGGUGGGAACGAAAUGUGCCGGGCUAAUACCCCGGUAAGCUGACGUUACUCAAUGAAGAAGCACCGGCUAACUCUGU